This 1278-nucleotide ribosomal RNA is filed under the name metagenome. RNAcentral's name for it is "bacterial SSU rRNA". It matches the Rfam family "Bacterial small subunit ribosomal RNA", at positions 251 to 1520 of the family's 1533-position model. The record is from RNAcentral.
GGUGAGGUAAAAGCUCACCAAGGCGACGAUCUGUAGCGGGUCUGAGAGGAUGAUCCGCCACACUGGAACUGAGACACGGUCCAGACUCCUACGGGAGGCAGCAGUGGGGAAUUUUGGACAAUGGGGGCAACCCUGAUCCAGCCAUGCCGCGUGAGUGAAGAAGGCCUUCGGGUUGUAAAGCUCUUUCAGCCGGGAAGAAAACGCAUGGGUUAAUACCCUGUGUGGAUGACGGUACCGGAAUAAGAAGCACCGGCUAACUACGUGCCAGCAGCCGCGGUAAUACGUAGGGUGCGAGCGUUAAUCGGAAUUACUGGGCGUAAAGCGUGCGCAGGCGGUUUUGUAAGACAGGCGUGAAAUCCCCGGGCUUGACCUGGGAACUGCGUUUGUGACUGCAAGGCUAGAGUACGGCAGAGGGGGGUGGAAUUCCACGUGUAGCAGUGAAAUGCGUAGAGAUGUGGAGGAACACCAAUGGCGAAGGCAGCCCCCUGGGUCGAUACUGACGCUCAUGCACGAAAGCGUGGGUAGCAAACAGGAUUAGAUACCCUGGUAGUCCACGCCCUAAACGAUGUCAACUAGGUGUUGGGAGGGUAAAACCUUUUAGUACCGGAGCUAACGCGUGAAGUUGACCGCCUGGGGAGUACGGCCGCAAGGUUAAAACUCAAAGGAAUUGACGGGGACCCGCACAAGCGGUGGAUGAUGUGGAUUAAUUCGAUGCAACGCGAAAAACCUUACCUACCCUUGACAUGCCAAGAACUUUCCAGAGAUGGAUUGGUGCCCGAAAGGGAACUUGGACACAGGUGCUGCAUGGCUGUCGUCAGCUCGUGUCGUGAGAUGUUGGGUUAAGUCCCGCAACGAGCGCAACCCUUGUCGUUAAUUGCCAUCAUUUAGUUGGGCACUUUAACGAGACUGCCGGUGACAAACCGGAGGAAGGUGGGGAUGACGUCAAGUCCUCAUGGCCCUUAUGGGUAGGGCUUCACACGUCAUACAAUGGUCGGUACAAAGGGUCGCCAAGCCGCGAGGUGGAGCCAAUCCCAGAAAGCCGAUCGUAGUCCGGAUCGCAGUCUGCAACUCGACUGCGUGAAGUCGGAAUCGCUAGUAAUCGUGGAUCAGAAUGUCACGGUGAAUACGUUCCCGGGUCUUGUACACACCGCCCGUCACACCAUGGGAGCGGGUUCCGCCAGAAGUAGGUAGCCUAACCGCAAGGAGGGCGCUUACCACGGCGGGGUUCGUGACUGGGGUGAAGUCGUAACAAGGUAGCCGUAGGGGAACCUGCGGCUG